AAAGAUUAAGCCAUGCAUGUCUAAGUAUAAGCAACUAUACGGUGAAACUGCGAAUGGCUCAUUAAAUCAGUUAUCGUUUAUUUGAUAGUACCUUACUACAUGGAUAACCGUGGUAAUUCUAGAGCUAAUACAUGCUAAAAACCUCGACUUCUGAAGGGGUGUAUUUAUUAUAUAAAAAACCAAUGCCCUUCGGGGCUCCUUGGUGAAUCAUAAUAACUUCACGAAUCGCAUGGCCUUGCGCCGGCGAUGGUUCAUUCAAAUUUCUGCCCUAUCAACUUUGUUUUUAGUUUUGUUUUUUCCCCAUGGUAU
This 309-nucleotide ribosomal RNA is filed under the name uncultured fungus. RNAcentral's name for it is "SSU rRNA". It matches the Rfam family "Eukaryotic small subunit ribosomal RNA", at positions 39 to 352 of the family's 1831-position model. Lineage: Eukaryota; Fungi. The record is from RNAcentral.